UGAAUGAAGAGAUAUUAGAAAUAAAAGAUUGAGGCCUGGCGUGGUGUUUCACGCCUAUAAUCCCAGCACGUUGGGAGGCCGAGGUGGGCAGAUCACCUGAGAUUGGGAGACCGAGACCAGCCUGAC
Sapajus apella (tufted capuchin) is the source of this 126-nucleotide long non-coding RNA. RefSeq lists it as uncharacterized. Lineage: Eukaryota; Metazoa; Chordata; Mammalia; Primates; Cebidae. The transcript is spliced from 3 exons. The record is from RefSeq and is a predicted model, not a curated record.